GAUGAAUGCUGGCGGCGUGCCUAAUACAUGCAAGUCGAGCGGUAAGGCCCUUCGGGGUACACGAGCGGCGGACGGCUGAGUAACGCGUGGGAACAUGCCCCAAAGUGAGGGAUAACGCACCGAAAGGUGUGCUAAUACCGCAUAUGGUCUUCGGAUUAAAGGAUUUAUCCGCUUUGGGAGUGGCCCGCGUACGAUUAGAUUGUUGGUGAGGUAACGGCUCACCAAGUCGACGAUCGUUAACUGGUCUGAGAGGAUGAUCAGUCAGACUGGAACUGAGACACGGUCCAGACUCCUACGGGAGGCAGCAGUAAGGAAUCUUCCACAAUGGGCGAAAGCCUGAUGGAGCAACGCCGCGUGCAGGAUGAAGGCCCUCGGGUCGUAAACUGCUUUAUGAGUGAAGAAUAUGACGGUAACUCAUG
RNAcentral lists this ribosomal RNA (419 nucleotides) under uncultured bacterium. Its description in RNAcentral is "bacterial SSU rRNA". It matches the Rfam family "Bacterial small subunit ribosomal RNA", at positions 28 to 484 of the family's 1533-position model. The record is from RNAcentral.